UACGUAGGGUCCGAGCGUUGUCCGGAAUUAUUGGGCGUAAAGGGCUCGUAGGCGGUUUGUUGCGUCGGGAGUGAAAACUUACAGCUUAACUGUGAGCGUGCUUCCGAUACGGGCAGACUUGAGGUAUUCAGGGGAGAACGGAAUUCCAGGUGUAGCGGUGAAAUGCGUAGAUAUCUGGAGGAACACCGGUGGCGAAGGCGGCAUCCUGGACCGACACUGACGCUGAGGAGCGAAAGCCAGGGGAGCAAACGGG
This 253-nucleotide ribosomal RNA is filed under the name uncultured bacterium. Its description in RNAcentral is "partial 16S ribosomal RNA". It matches the Rfam family "Bacterial small subunit ribosomal RNA", at positions 524 to 776 of the family's 1533-position model. The record is from RNAcentral.